Molecule: ribosomal RNA, 414 nt
Filed under: Bemisia tabaci
Lineage: Eukaryota; Metazoa; Arthropoda; Insecta; Hemiptera; Aleyrodidae
Description: partial 16S ribosomal RNA
Source: RNAcentral
AUUCUUAAUCCAACAUCGAGGUCGUAAUUUAUUUUGGGAAUUUGAUCUUCUCAAAAAUUUUACGCUGUUAUCCCUUAGGUAAUUUAGUUUAUUUCUUAUUUGGAUAAUUUAAUUUGAUUAAAUUCAUUUUAUUAUAUUAAAAGAUUUAAUUAUUUUAAAAUCUCCCCAAUUUAACAAAUUAUAUUUAAUUAAAAUUAAUUUUAAUUGUUAAAUUCUAAAGGGUCUUCUUGUCUUUUGAUUUAAUUUAAGAUUUUUCACUUAAAUAUUAAUUUGUACUAUUUUAGUUAAAAAAGUUAGUUUUUCAUUUUUUCCUUCAUUCAAGCUUUGAAUUAUAAAGCAAUUUAUUAUGCUACCUUAGUACAGUUAAUUUACUGCAGCUAUUUAAGAUUUAUCAUUGAGCAGAACUUAUCUAAA